UUGGCCUGUAUUUGUUGAACUAAAAAAAAAUUUUUUUAAAUAAACCUAAAAAGAGAUUUUUGAUAAAUCUUAUAUGAUAUAUAUUUAUAUAGGUAUGUACACUUAUACAUUUAUUUUGUGCAUUUCUUUACACAUAUAUGAAGCAAGUCUUUGUCUGUUUUAAUUACGAGAUAACUUUCCCAGAGAUUUUUCUGUUGUUAAAUAAAAUUAAUUUUUAAAGAACCAAAUUCAGAAAUGAAUAACACCUCAAAAGAGAUCUGGCAGAAAAGGAAGUUAUACGGUCAGGACAGGAGCAAACAGAGGGAAAAAGGUUUCUAGGCCCUCCCUCUCCUCCUGGGAGACACAGAUAAAGGAGGAGUAGUCUAUGAUCCAGUGGGAUGGACACUGAGUCAGAUUCUUUAGGUGAUUAAAUGACACAAAGUACAAAAAAGUAAGAUAUUGGCUGAGAAUCAAGGUAGAUUAUAAAAGACUGUGCAUAGGAAAGGAGAGCCUGCUAGCAAAGAUACUGGACUUUUUUUUUUCCCCCACUCUUCUCUUGAAAAUGAGCCAUAGAAAAAUGGGAAUAGAAGUACUUUUAUCUAAAAAGAAAGAAAUGAAUUCAUGUAAUUUCUGGGUCAUCACAAUUGCUCAGUGACCAGUCCCAACUCCACCCUCACAGAGGAAAAAAAAAGGGGCUAAUGGUUUUGUAUGUGUCUUUUUAUCUGGUGGAGACUGAAAUACCCUCAGCUGAGACUGGGAGAGACAGGGGGAUACCCACCGCCCCCCUCUGCCAGUGCAGCUUCAACUUGGGAGUGGUCUGGGAGCAUGGAGGGGUUUGCUCUCCCCUUCAGUAGUCCUGUGCCGUAGGACUGCAAGAUGUUAUCACAAGUUCUGAAGGACCAAAAGCAUUAAGUGCUGCAAAGAGAGCCCCUGUGGAGCGCCCCCUCCUCUCCUUCUCAAGAUCCUGACAGGAAGAGGCUGCCUUUUGUCACAGUUUGACUGACUGGUGUGAGUGACACUGAAAUGCUCCAUCCUGCUCAGCCUGAAACACAGUGGCACUAAUCCUAAAGGACAAACAAAACAAAGUUUUUUUUUUUUUUAAAGUAAAUGGCUUGGAGAGAAACUGGCCAAAGCCCCCACCAAAGAAGGAAUGAAGAGCAUCUUCUUUCUGAAUGGCAGCUAGGAAGGGGCCUAUCAAUCAAUCUGGUGGUCUCCACACACCUGCAAACUAUUCCUACCAAUGAGACUUUACAAACCUAUUAUGAUGCAAAGUUGUGACUCAGAAUCAUAUCUCCAUAAAGCUUUUCUGCUCCUCAGAAGCCCAGGUCAAUUGAGGGCAAGCAAGUUGCACAAACCUGCAGGCUUUAAGGAGAACCUUAGGGCUCAGCGAAAGAGCUUUCCUUUUUCUGCUUUUAUGUAGCAGAUUGCCUUCUGCAGCCUUGGCUGUGAUCUCAGCUCCUCUCACUCUCCGUCUUGGCUAUCUGCCUGGUCUCCUGCUGUCCUCAUCUGUAGGAGCUACACAGCUCAGCAAGAGACCGUUCUUAGUGUACCCAUCACAGCACUGGAAGAAAAAGAAUACUGAGAUACUUGCCUGUGAAGCAAAAGAACCUCCCAUUGGAAUGAGGAAUUCAUUCUUUUAAGAACUGAUUUACAAAAGGAAACCUCCCCAAACUAAAAGCCUAGAUGAAAAAGCACCAUGUCUUAAAAGGAACAGUUUUGUUUUUUUUUAAACUAAAGUGAAACACAUGUGAGAAGAAUGAAAGAAAUGCCCUCUCACCAGCUGCUGAUUGGUUUUUCAGUUUGGUUGAGUGUUUAGAAAUUCAGAGUAAUUCUUUGCUAGAUAUUAUAUACUAAUGUCUUCCAACUAAGACGAAAAUAUUUAACUAUGCAGUACUCUGUGUGAUUGCUAUUACUUAUUCUGGAAUUACUGUUUUAUUUGAUAAUUAUAUAACAGGAUAAGAUAUAUGAAGACAGAGGUCCUGAUGUGUAAAUAGGCAGAUCCUUCUGGUAAUUAUACUGUUUAUCAGAGACCUGCUGUUUUAUUGAUGUUUAUUCUUUGUAAUAGGGUCAAUAUUUCUUGUUCUGUGUUCAGAAAUAAGAGCAUCAAAAUGCCACUCACCUGUGACACUAUUUUGACACGGUUUAUGUUUACUGCUAAUUGAAUUAUGAAACUUGAACAUUUUUGGAAAAAUACAUGCUCUACAAUACAUAAUAUGAGUCUUAAGUAUUAAGGAGAAGAUUAAAGCCUUGGUCACUUUCAAUAAGUGCCUUAUCAAUUAUACCUUUAAUUAUUGUUAUAUAUUAAAAUAUGCUAUUUAAGUGAGUGUUAAUGGAGGAGUGAGUGUUUUAAUGAAAAGUAGAUUCUUCAAGUUUAUACGAUGCUAACACUGUGAUGAUUGCUUCUUGAACAUAUACAUUAAAUAUCUUGUAUAAACACACAAAAAUUGGAGUUCAAAUCUUAAUAGAAUAGGUUUGUUUUCAUCCUCUGGGAAAUAAGGAAGGAUAGAUAUUGCUGAGUUCAUAGUAGGUGUUAAAUAAAUAUCUGUUGAUUGGUUAAGUAUUGACAGAAGAAAGCAAGGAAAUAAUUUAAACUUUGUUAUGUCAUAACUGUGACUUGAAUAAUAAUCCUUGGAUUGAGUACUAUAGUCACCUAUUGCACGGUUUAAAAUCCAGAUAAUAUAAGGCAAUUUUUACCUGUCUUUGGUAAGUUUCUCCUUGAAACUGAUUUUCCUUGUCUUUAAUUUUUUAGGGAAAAAAAUAAAGUAUAAUUUACCUCUAGGGAGCAGAGAGACUUCCAUUAUCUCAUGACAACAAGACGGUCAAUAGUACUGUAAGUUCUUAGUGCAUAAAUCAUACUCUGAAGGCACUUCAGAAAUACAGAAGUCAUUUUAGCCAGUCUCCAGGACUCUCAUUUCUGUGAUUGGAAUCAGAAGCAGAGACAAAAAAGAAAUAUUUCCAAAAGUUCUUUUGAAUUAAAAAUAUUGCUUGAAUUCUAGUCUCUUUUAAAACUUAAGGAUAAUUAUAGUCACCUCUUAUGAAACUUGACUGUUUUUAAGCAUAAAUGUGUGAAAUACUACUAUUGCUAUGUAGUACCGUUUUUAUACUCUCAAGUGUUUGGUUAAAAGUUAAAGUCAACACAGUACAGCAAGACCUCCAUUUUAGUUUCAACUCUGCCCCAACUAUGCAUCCUGAGCAAAUUAUUUACUCUGUCUUCACUUGUGAAAUUAAAUCAGAUUAGACAAUCUCCAGUGAAUCUCUUAUUCAAUAUUUCAGAGUUGUGUGAUGUUUCCCUUAAUAAUAAUUCAUGUAUUUUUUGUACAUGGAGAGCUCCUUAUGUGCCAGUAAGCAUGCUAAGUGUUUUACCUUCAUUUUCUUAUUAAAUUAAUGAUUAUUAAUGC
Bubalus bubalis (water buffalo) is the source of this 3377-nucleotide long non-coding RNA. RefSeq lists it as uncharacterized. The record is from RefSeq and is a predicted model, not a curated record. The transcript is spliced from 2 exons. Lineage: Eukaryota; Metazoa; Chordata; Mammalia; Artiodactyla; Bovidae.